AUUGAACGCUGGCGGCAGGCCUAACACAUGCAAGUCGGACGGUAGCACAGAGGAGCUUGCUCCUCGGGUGACGAGUGGCGGACGGGUGAGUAAUGUCUGGGGAUCUGCCCGAUAGAGGGGGAUAACCACUGGAAACGGUGGCUAAUACCGCAUAACGUCGCAAGACCAAAGAGGGGGACCUUCGGGCCUCUCACUAUCGGAUGAACCCAGAUGGGAUUAGACUAGUAGGCGGGGUAACGGCCCACCUAGGCGACGAUCCCUAGCUGGUCUGCGAGGAUGACCAGCCACACUGAAACCGAGACACGGUCCAGACUCCGACGGGAGGCAGCAGUGGGGAAUAUUGCACAAUGGGCGCAAGCCUAAUGAAGCCAUGCCGCGUGUAUGAAGAAGGCCUUCGGGUUGUAAAGUACUUUCAGCGGGAAGGAAGGCGAUGUGGUUAAUAACCGCGUCGAUUGACGUUACCCGCAGAAGAAGCACCGGCUAACUCCGUGCCAGCAGCCGCAGUAA
This 507-nucleotide ribosomal RNA is filed under the name uncultured bacterium. Its description in RNAcentral is "partial 16S ribosomal RNA". It matches the Rfam family "Bacterial small subunit ribosomal RNA", at positions 29 to 523 of the family's 1533-position model. The record is from RNAcentral.